GUCAGCAUGGUGUAGUGGUUCAAGCAUUGGACUAUGACUCUGCAGGCCAGGGUUCAAAUCCCUGUUUACCCA
This is a non-coding RNA of Phrynosoma platyrhinos (Desert horned lizard), 72 nucleotides long. The record is from the annotation of a GenBank genome assembly. Lineage: Eukaryota; Metazoa; Chordata; Lepidosauria; Squamata; Phrynosomatidae.